Molecule: ribosomal RNA, 472 nt
Filed under: uncultured bacterium
Lineage: Bacteria
Description: bacterial SSU rRNA
Rfam family: Bacterial small subunit ribosomal RNA
Source: RNAcentral
ACUCCUACGGGAGGCAGCAGUGGGGAAUAUUGCACAAUGGGCGCAAGCCUGAUGCAGCCAUGCCGCGUGUAUGAAGAAGGCCUUCGGGUUGUAAAGUACUUUCAGCAGUGAGGAAGGUGGUAGUGUUAAUAGCACUAUCAUUUGACGUUAGCUGCAGAAGAAGCACCGGCUAACUCCGUGCCAGCAGCCGCGGUAAUACGGAGGGUGCGAGCGUUAAUCGGAAUUACUGGGCGUAAAGCGCAUGCAGGUGGUUUGUUAAGUCAGAUGUGAAAGCCCGGGGCUCAACCUCGGAAUUGCAUUUGAAACUGGCAGACUAGAGUACUGUAGAGGGGGUAGAAUUUCAGGUGUAGCGGUGAAAUGCGUAGAGAUCUGAAGGAAUACCGGUGGCGAAGGCGGCCCCCUGGACAGAUACUGACACUCAGAUGCGAAAGCGUGGGGAGCAAACAGGAUUAGAUACCCUGGUAGGAUAGAG